CGAGAGCAGAGUGAAGACACUAUCGGCGAGUAGAUGGUCGAGUAUGGUUGAGCUAACUGGGCAGCGAAGUCUGAAGUUGCAGUUACGUUUGCAUAUGGCGCGGCGCUUCUCAUCACUUCGAAUAUCUACCCCAAAAUGCGAGCAGCAUAAGAUUCUUCUCUCAAUUUCUAUCGAUUCUAUACCGUGAACCUCUCCUCCUUUUUCUUUCUUCCUGCCAAACGGACAAUAUACCGUAAUCGCCUUUAAAUAACUCUCUCCUAAGCCUCACCUUCUUCUUCUUUUCUUGCAUGUCUGCU
This 296-nucleotide unclassified non-coding RNA is filed under the name Hevea brasiliensis (rubber tree). The record is from RNAcentral. Lineage: Eukaryota; Viridiplantae; Streptophyta; Magnoliopsida; Malpighiales; Euphorbiaceae.